This 65-nucleotide transfer RNA is filed under the name Calocaris macandreae. Its description in RNAcentral is "tRNA-Glu". The record is from RNAcentral. Lineage: Eukaryota; Metazoa; Arthropoda; Malacostraca; Decapoda; Axiidae.
GUUUUUAUGGUGUAAAUUAACACACUACAUUUUCGUUGUAGAGUUGAAAACUAAUUCUAAAAAUA